This 1057-nucleotide ribosomal RNA is filed under the name Salmonella enterica. RNAcentral's name for it is "partial 23S ribosomal RNA". It matches the Rfam family "Bacterial large subunit ribosomal RNA", at positions 667 to 1637 of the family's 2925-position model. Lineage: Bacteria; Pseudomonadati; Pseudomonadota; Gammaproteobacteria; Enterobacterales; Enterobacteriaceae. RNAcentral also lists the same sequence under 1 other name. The record is from RNAcentral.
CGGAGGGAAACCGAGUCUUAAUUGGGCGUUAAGUUGCAGGGUAUAGACCCGAAACCCGGUGAUCUAGCCAUGGGCAGGUUGAAGGUUGGGUAACACUAACUGGAGGACCGAACCGACUAAUGUUGAAAAAUUAGCGGAUGACCUGUGGCUGGGGGUGAAAGGCCAAUCAAACCGGGAGAUAGCUGGUUCUCCCCGAAAGCUAUUUAGGUAGCGCCUCGUGAAUUCAUCUCCGGGGGUAGAGCACUGUUUCGGCUAGGGGGCCAUCCCGGCUUACCAACCCGAUGCAAACUGCGAAUACCGGAGAAUGUUAUCACGGGAGACACACGGCGGGUGCUAACGUCCGUCGUGAAGAGGGAAACAACCCAGACCGCCAGCUAAGGUCCCAAAGUCAUGGUUAAGUGGGAAACGAUGUGGGAAGGCCCAGACAGCCAGGAUGUUGGCUUAGAAGCAGCCAUCAUUUAAAGAAAGCGUAAUAGCUCACUGGUCGAGUCGGCCUGCGCGGAAGAUGUAACGGGGCUAAACCAUGCACCGAAGCUGCGGCAGCGAACGUAUCACCCAAGACAACUUUACGGAGUUGACGAUUGACGGAGCGAAGCGACGUCAAAGCGUUCAUUAAAGUCGAGUUGGCUUAGGGAUACGUUCGUUGGGUAGGGGAGCGUUCUGUAAGCCUGUGAAGGUGUGUCGUGAGGCAUGCUGGAGGUAUCAGAAGUGCGAAUGCUGACAUAAGUAACGAUAAAGCGGGUGAAAAGCCCGCUCGCCGGAAGACCAAGGGUUCCUGUCCAACGUUAAUCGGGGCAGGGUGAGUCGACCCCUAAGGCGAGGCCGAAAGGCGUAGUCGAUGGGAAACGGGUUAAUAUUCCCGUACUUGGUGUUACUGCGAAGGGGGGACGGAGAAGGCUAUGUUGGCCGGGCGACGGUUGUCCCGGUUUAAGCGUGUAGGUGUGUGUUCCAGGUAAAUCCGGUUCACUUUAACACUGAGGCGUGACGACGAGGCACUACGGUGCUGAAGCAACAAAUGCCCUGCUUCCAGGAAAAGCCUCUAAGCAUCAGGUAACAC